This 382-nucleotide transfer-messenger RNA is filed under the name Micromonospora qiuiae. RNAcentral's name for it is "Standard tmRNA". It matches the Rfam family "transfer-messenger RNA". Rfam says of the family: Bacterial tmRNA, also known as 10Sa RNA or SsrA, is named for its dual tRNA and mRNA-like properties. The record is from RNAcentral. Lineage: Bacteria; Bacillati; Actinomycetota; Actinomycetes; Micromonosporales; Micromonosporaceae.
GGGGGUGACUGGUUUCGACUUCGUACGUUGAGGCAGGGGAAGCGAGCCGAGGAAGCCGACGUCGUCUCGAGAAUCGUUCGUCGGAAAACAAUAAGCGCCGAGGACAAUCGCGUUCGCGGUGACUUCGCUCUCGCCGCCUGAGGCGAGUAGCGAGUCUGUCGGCCUGGGAGCGCCUUCGACCCAGUUAGCCGGCAUCAGCUAGAAGGCUGGCCAACCGGACCCGGUCGCGGGGUCCGUGCGGCGAGAUCAAUCAGCGACUGGGCCCGUCACACCGACUCGCUCGCGUGAUCGGAGGGGCCGAGUAGAGGCACAGCGAGCUGCGCUCGGAGAAGCCCUGACAAGGCGGCGAAGGACCCGGGUUCGAUUCCCGGCACCUCCACCA